AUUGAACGCUGGCGGCAGGCCUAACACAUGCAAGUCGAGCGAGCGGCGGACGGGUGAGUAAUGUAUGGGGAUCUGCCCGAUAGAGGGGGAUAACUACUGGAAAAGGUGGCUAAUACCGCAUACCAUCGGAUGAGCCCAUAUGGGAUUAGCGAGUGGGGGGGGUAAAGGCGCACCAAGGCGACGAUCUCUAGCUGGGAUGAGAGGAUGAACAGCCACACUGGGACAGAGACACGGCCCAGACUCCUACGGUAGGCAGCAGUGGGGAAUAUUGCACAAUGGGCGCAAGACUGAUGCAGCAAUGCGGAGUGUAUGAAGAAGGCCUUAGGGUUGUAAAGUACUUUCAGCGGGGAGGCGUUACCCGCAGAAGAAGCACCGGCUAACUCCGUGCCAGCAGCCGCGGUAAUUC
RNAcentral lists this ribosomal RNA (406 nucleotides) under uncultured bacterium. RNAcentral's name for it is "partial 16S ribosomal RNA". It matches the Rfam family "Bacterial small subunit ribosomal RNA", at positions 29 to 526 of the family's 1533-position model. The record is from RNAcentral.